UACAGAGGGUGCAAGCGUUAAUCGGAAUUACUGGGCGUAAAGCGCACGUAGGCGGUUUUUUAAGUCAGAUGUGAAAGCCCCGGGCUCAACCUGGGAAUUGCAUUUGAAACUGGAAAACUAGAGUGUGUGAGAGGGGGGUAGAAUUCCGCGUGUAGCAGUGAAAUGCGUAGAGAUGCGGAGGAACACCGAUGGCGAAGGCAGCCCCCUGGGAUAACACUGACGCUCAUGCACGAAAGCGUGGGGAGCAAACAGGAUUAGAAACCCC
This 265-nucleotide ribosomal RNA is filed under the name uncultured bacterium. RNAcentral's name for it is "partial 16S ribosomal RNA". It matches the Rfam family "Bacterial small subunit ribosomal RNA", at positions 524 to 788 of the family's 1533-position model. The record is from RNAcentral.